GGAGGAGGGGGCCGUGUGGAAACGGUGCGGGGCUUUGGGUUGGAUAUUAGGAAGAAGUUUUUCACACAGAGGUGGUGCCACUCUGGAACAGGUUGCCCGAGGAGGCUGUGGAUGCCCCAUCCCUGGAGGCAUUCAAGGCCACGCUGGAUGUGGUUCUGGGCAGCCUGGUCUGGAGGUUGGCAACCCUGCACAUAGCAGGGAGGUUGAAAGUCAAUGAUCAUUGUGGUCCUUUUCAACCAAGCCCAUUCUACGAUUCUAUGCACUAGAUUAGGCUGGCCAUGGUUCCUAUCCAACCUAGCCUCUUUUUAUGCCUUACAACUUAGCCACUUUGUACGUCUCUUUUCAGAAAGAAAACAAAGAUAUACCGAUUCAGACUACUUUAACACUUCCAUGCAAAUGCACUCUUCUAAUAUUUUUUAAAUGGAUCUUUUUGUUUUGUUUUUGCUCUGAGAAUUCUUCCUUCCACUCUAACACAUUGGUAAAAUGAAAGGCUGUCUAGUACUGCAUUAAUGGGUAUCAUUCAUGCCAGUUCACUAGUAUGGAUGGAUACUAUACUCCCUGAAAUGAAUGGUCAUUAGAUAUUUCCUCAGAAAUCUUCAUUUUUUCACAGAGUUAUUCAAGUAAUUUAUUUUUUACCAAGUCAGCAGCUAUAUAUCUGCUGAUGGAAAGAGAAUCCAUGUUCUGGAAAAGAAAACAUGUGUGCAGCGAUUUUUUCAAGAUUUUGGUCACAAGCCCAAGAUCACUCAGAGAGAAGAUCCGUGGAGGUGAGAAACAAUCACUAUUACUCUUUGCUCAGGAUGUUCUGCUUGAUGUUCUGCUCAAAGUGUGUAUAAAUAAAAAAAAUACAAACCAGAAAUACUUGAAUCUACAAGAGCAAGAGUGAGAAAAUUCAGGCGCAAAACAUCAACAGUGAGCCCCACCUGCUGUUUUCUGAUCAUCACAUCAAUC
RNAcentral lists this long non-coding RNA (948 nucleotides) under Gallus gallus (chicken). RNAcentral's name for it is "lncRNA (ENSGALG00010005072.1)". Lineage: Eukaryota; Metazoa; Chordata; Aves; Galliformes; Phasianidae. The record is from RNAcentral.